This is a non-coding RNA of Pelobates cultripes (western spadefoot toad), 245 nucleotides long. NCBI's taxonomy places the organism in Eukaryota, Metazoa, Chordata, Amphibia, Anura, Pelobatidae. The record is from the annotation of a GenBank genome assembly.
GGGAGGGAGUGACUGGUGACAGAGGGAGGGAGUGACUAGUGACAGAGGGAGGGAGUGACUAGUGACAGAGAGAGGGACCCCCCUCACUCUGUCACUAGUCACCCCCUCUGUCCCUAGUCACCCCCUUCCUCACUCUGUCACUAGUCACCCCAUCCCUCUCUCUGUCACUAGUCACCCCAUCCCUCCCUCUGUCACUAGUCACCCCUUCCCUCCCUCUCUCUGUCACUAGUCACCCCCUCCCUCCC